This 451-nucleotide ribosomal RNA is filed under the name uncultured bacterium. RNAcentral's name for it is "bacterial SSU rRNA". It matches the Rfam family "Bacterial small subunit ribosomal RNA", at positions 328 to 794 of the family's 1533-position model. The record is from RNAcentral.
UUCCCAGACUCCUACGGGAGGCAGCAGUGGGGAAUAUUGGGCAAUGGGCGCAAGCCUGACCCAGCAACGCCGCGUGAAGGAAGAAGGCUUUCGGGUUGUAAACUUCUUUUAAGAGGGAAGAGUAGAAGACGGUACCUCUUGAAUAAGCCACGGCUAACUACGUGCCAGCAGCCGCGGUAAUACGUAGGGAGCAAGCGUUGUCCGGAAUUACUGGGCGUAAAGGGCGCGUAGGUGGGCGCUUAAGUCAGGUGUGAAAACUCCGGGCUCAACCUGGAGACUGCACUUGAAACUGGGUGUCUUGAGGGCAGGAGAGGAAAGCGGAAUUCCUAGUGUAGCGGUGAAAUGCGUAGAUAUUAGGAGGAACACCAGGGGCGAAGGCGACUUUCUGGACUGUACCUGACGCUGAGGCGCGAAAGCGUGGGUAGCGAACGGGAUUAGAUACCCCAGUAAU